GACGAACGCUGGCGGCGUGCUUAACACAUGCAAGUCGAACGGAAAGGCCCUGCUUUUGUGGGGUGCUCGAGUGGCGAACGGGUGAGUAACACGUGAGUAACCUGCCCUUGACUUUGGGAUAACUUCAGGAAACUGGGGCUAAUACCGGAUAGGAGCUCCUGCUGCAUGGUGGGGGUUGGAAAGUUUCGGCGGUUGGGGAUGGACUCGCGGCUUAUCAGCUUGUUUGUGGGGUAGUUGCUUACCAAGGCUUUGACGGGUAGCCGGCCUGAGAGGGUGACCGGGCACAUUGGGACUGAGAGACGGCCCAGACGCCUACGGGAGGCAGCAGGGGGGAAUAUUGCACAAUGGGCGGAAGCCUGAGGCAGCAACGCCGCGUGCGGGAUGACGGCCUUCGGGUUGUAAACCGCUUUCGCCUGUGACGAAGCGUGAGUGACGGUAAUGGGUAAAGAAGCACCGGCUAACUACGUG
This 468-nucleotide ribosomal RNA is filed under the name uncultured bacterium. Its description in RNAcentral is "partial 16S ribosomal RNA". It matches the Rfam family "Bacterial small subunit ribosomal RNA", at positions 28 to 507 of the family's 1533-position model. The record is from RNAcentral.